Long non-coding RNA from Populus euphratica (Euphrates poplar), 318 nucleotides. RefSeq lists it as uncharacterized. The record is from RefSeq and is a predicted model, not a curated record. NCBI's taxonomy places the organism in Eukaryota, Viridiplantae, Streptophyta, Magnoliopsida, Malpighiales, Salicaceae. The transcript is spliced from 2 exons.
CGCAUCUGGACUGAGUCAGAAACAUAUGGUGAGCAGAAUGCAUACAUGAUUGGUGAUAUUAAUAUUAAACCCCUCAUCAUUGAUCGUACUAAGAACCAUGACAUUGCAAUGGUUGGAAAUUUGGGAGCUUUUGGCAUUUUAAUAGGAAGCAUAUUACCUAACUUUCCAAUGAUACAAGUUUGAGCAACUAGCUGCCUUGAAGUAUAUGCUACUCCUUCCAAAUCUUUCUGUUCUAUAGAACUCUUGAGUGUAGAGAGCUCCGUUAAGUGCUUAUUGACUGGGAAAUGUUGUUAGUUACUACAUUUGUUUUUUUUUUAA